CGUCAACAUGGGGUUCACUUUGGUUUUGAAAUGUGGUAAUCAUGUCAGAGAGGUGAACCUUUAUGUUGAUGCUCCAAGAGACAUGCCCUGCAUGCUGGGUUAGGAAACCCCAAUUGAUAGUUGCAGGCAUAGAUGUGCACAUGGUCCCCCGAAAGCAAUGGCUGUAAGUGUUUUGGCUGUUCAGUACAUUAUUUGACAUGUAUAAGUGACCUAGGUUUACUUUCUGUGUACAAUGUUAGUUGCAAAUGUACAGAAUUAAGUUCUAGUGUGACAGAGAUGCUAAUUUGUGAUAAAGAUAGGCAAGAUGCUAAUGGUAACACAUAAUUAGCAUGUAAUUUGGUUGACGACUAGUGUUAGCUCUUAUUGGCCAGCUGUUUCGUAGUGUCAUACAGUAACCUUAUUGUUUGUUUCUUAGACAUUGUAAGUAUUUUCUGCCUUUUGUUUUUUUUUUCAGUUUCACUCAUAAGUUUUCACCUGUCAAACAUGAAUAACAAAGUCAAUAAAGGAGCAAGGCGCUCGCUUCCUGGCUCGUGAAAAUUGA
Micropterus dolomieu (smallmouth bass) is the source of this 541-nucleotide long non-coding RNA. RefSeq lists it as uncharacterized. The record is from RefSeq and is a predicted model, not a curated record. The transcript has 2 exons. Lineage: Eukaryota; Metazoa; Chordata; Actinopteri; Centrarchiformes; Centrarchidae.